RNAcentral lists this ribosomal RNA (484 nucleotides) under uncultured bacterium. Its description in RNAcentral is "partial 16S ribosomal RNA". It matches the Rfam family "Bacterial small subunit ribosomal RNA", at positions 30 to 507 of the family's 1533-position model. The record is from RNAcentral.
AUUGAACGCUGGCGGCAGGCCUAACACAUGCAAGUCGAGCGGAUGAAGGGAGCUUGCUCCUGGAUUCAGCGGCGGACGGGUGAGUAAUGCCUAGGAAUCUGCCUUGUAGUGGGGGAUAACGUCCGGAAACGGGCGCUAAUACCGCAUACGUCCUGAGGGAGAAAGUGGGGGAUCUUCGGACCCCACGCUAUCAGAUGAGCCUAGGUCGGAUUAGCUAGUUGGUGGGGUAAAGGCCUACCAAGGCGACGAUCCGUAACUGGUCUGAGAGGAUGAUCAGUCACACUGGAACUGAGACACGGUCCAGACUCCUACGGGAGGCAGCAGUGGGGAAUAUUGGACAAUGGGCGAAAGCCUGAUCCAGCCAUGCCGCGUGUGUGAAGAAGGUCUUCGGAUUGUAAAGCACUUUAAGUUGGGAGGAAGGGCAGUAAGUUAAUACCUUGCUGUUUUGACGUUACCAACAGAAUAAGCACCGGCUAACUUCGUG